UAACAGUAUGGUAUUUGAAUUUCACCCCUGCUUUUCUGAUCGGGAAGUCAUGACCACUGGAGAUCUUCUCAACAUUCAACCCACGGAACUCAAAUUCCCAUUUGAAUUGAAGAAGCAGAGUUCAUGUUCUAUGCAAUUGACUAACAAGUCAGAUAAGUAUGUGGCUUUUAAGGUUAAAACGACCAAUCCCAAGAAAUACUAUGUUCGUCCCAACACUGGCAUCAUUUUGCCUCAGACCUCUUGCAAUGUUACAGUUACAAUGCAAGCCCCAAAAGAGGCACCCCAUGAUAUGCAAUGCAAGGACAAAUUCCUUCUUCAGAGUGUUGCUGCUCCUGAUGGUACAACCAUGAAAGAUAUAACUCCAGAUAUGUUUAAUAAGGAGAAUGGUAAGGAUGUAGAGGAGUUCAAAUUGCGUGUAGUCUACAUCCCUGCUAAUCCUCCCUCACCUGUCCCAGAAGAAUAUGAAGAAGAAUCAUCUCUGAGUGCUUCUGUGCUUGAGAAUGGUAAUCAAGAUGCUUUGUUGUUUGAAGCUGUAUCAAGAUCUUUAGAGGAGCCUAAAGAGAAAUCUUCGGAGGCAUGGUCUACCAUAUCUAAGUUGACUGAGGAGAAAGCUUCUGUGCUGCAACAAAAUCAACAGCUACGACAAGAAGUGGAAUUGAUGAGAAGACAAGUUAGCAAAACUCCUGAUGGUGGCUUCUCUUUAUUUCUUGUGGUGUUGGUUGGUCUAUUUGGUAUCCUGGUUGGCUAUGUUGUGAAGAGAACAUAGAAAAUUACCAAAUAACUGGUAUUUGUUAGGUUGAGGUGCUGGCUUCAAAGUUUUCAGCCUUCCCCUAGUUUUUGAAACUUUUUAGGACCUUUGCUUGGUGUGUAAAGUCAAAGCCUGGUGUAUUACUAACUUGUAAUUUGUGUUUGUGACACAGUUAAUGUUGUUU
RNAcentral lists this unclassified non-coding RNA (932 nucleotides) under Hevea brasiliensis (rubber tree). The record is from RNAcentral. Lineage: Eukaryota; Viridiplantae; Streptophyta; Magnoliopsida; Malpighiales; Euphorbiaceae.